AGCCUUGUUCUGGUGCAGUGGUUUGAGCGUUGGACUAUGACUUUGGAAACCAGGGUUCGAAUCCCAGCUAGGCUA
Non-coding RNA from Phrynosoma platyrhinos (Desert horned lizard), 75 nucleotides. Lineage: Eukaryota; Metazoa; Chordata; Lepidosauria; Squamata; Phrynosomatidae. The record is from the annotation of a GenBank genome assembly.